AACACUCCGCAGGGUCCCGAGUAGGCAGUUGUGGUCCACAGGCCACUGGCAAACAGAGGCAGAGCCACAGAGGGGCUGCUCGUCCCCAAAUGUCUCUCCAGCCGCUCUGAAGCUGCUGCGGGCUGCUGUGCUGGUGAUGGCUGAGAUCAUGAGAUGAGCCCCGGGGGUCCCUGGGCAUCCCUGGGAGGUCCAUGGAGAAGGUGGAACACUGGACUAAAGAGACAGGCUGAGGAAGCCCUCAAGUCACCCCUGAUGGAGGCCAGACCUUGAAUGUUACAAUCCCUCUGCUUAUCGACCCUUAAUAAAAAUCUGAGCAGGUCUUCUCUGCAGGACACAGGAGGCUUUCUGGAAAAAAAAACAUGGAAAAGUGAGUCUCCUAAGCGUUCCCAAGUGAUUGAUGCAGGACACAUCUUAAAAGGAUGAAAGGAGGAUGGAGGAAAACUUCAGAAGGAAAUAACACAGUUUGAAUGAAAACACCUAUUUUGCAGAAAGUCCGGAAGUGCUCGACCAAGAGAUCGCGAGAUGGGAGCAGAGAGUACAGGAAAGGAAGGAGGAGAAAGAAAGGCUGGAAACCUUUGAAUGCACAAAAAAAACAGGUCAUGAAAGAUACCACGAGCCAACUAAAAUCUCUGGCUGAAAAUGUGCUGGACACCAUGCAGUUGGAAGAUUUCACUAGGGACCGCAGUGAUGAGGGGAACUUGGAAGCAGAGCUAAAGAGGAAAGCAGAAAAUGAAGAAACCACCCCCUUAAAAAUUAAGUAAAUUUUUUUAAAGUUAUGUGCAUACAUUCUGUAUAUACAGAAAAGAUAUCUAAAUUGUAUGCACGCAGAAGGAGCAUUGCCCCCACAAGGAACAGUUCAUGCUAAAUGGUGCAGAUGAAGAGACUUUGACAAAGGAAGUUUCCUGAGCUGUGGGCAGGGAUGAGAGCUCAGACAAAUGAUGGGAAGCCUCCCAGAUGCCAAGGUUUCCCACCCCCAGGUUUCAAGGGAGGAGAGAGGAAGUGAUGUCAUCUGAGCCCAGUGAGGCCCUGUCAAGGGACCAGGGAAAACUGCCCCCACUUUUUGCUCCCAUCCUCUCAUUGACUGCAGGUGCACAGGCAGCUGCCUGAAAGAGGGCCUGCGAAGUGCAAGCCAGAGGAGUUGGCCUCCAUGGCACAGAGCAGGCAGAAAACAAAUUUGGAGAAUGACCAGCACUCUUGGGUUUAUUUGACUGAAAGUGCUUGUUUUAUUGCAUUCACUCACAUCCAUUUAUU
RNAcentral lists this long non-coding RNA (1251 nucleotides) under Homo sapiens (human). Its description in RNAcentral is "HSALNT0404170". Lineage: Eukaryota; Metazoa; Chordata; Mammalia; Primates; Hominidae. The record is from RNAcentral.